AACGAACGCUGGCGGCGUGUUUAAGACAUGCAAGUCGUACGGGACUAUUUGAGUAGCAAUACAAGAAUAGUCUAGUGGCGCACGGGUGAGUAACACGUGAAUUACAUGCCCUGCAGAGGGGGAUAGCCCAGGGAAACUUGGAUUAAUACCCCAUGGUAUCGCGAGAUUAAAGGUGGCCGCAAGGCUGUCGCUGCAGGAUUGGUUCGCGCCCUAUCAGCUUGUUGGUGAGGUACCGGCUCACCAAGGCUACGACGGGUACCUGGUCUGAGAGGACGAUCAGGCACACUGGAACUGAGACACGGUCCAGACACCUACGGGUGGCAGCAGUCGAGAAUAAUUCACAAUGGGGGCAACCCUGAUGGUGCAACGCCGCGUGGAGGAUGAAGGUCUUCGGAUUGUAAACUCCUGUCAUCCGGGAGUAAGACCUGGCGAUGAAUAGUCGACAGGGUUGAUAGUACCGGAAGAGGAAGGGACGGCUAACUUCGUGCCAGCAGCCGCCGUAA
RNAcentral lists this ribosomal RNA (503 nucleotides) under uncultured bacterium. RNAcentral's name for it is "partial 16S ribosomal RNA". It matches the Rfam family "Bacterial small subunit ribosomal RNA", at positions 29 to 523 of the family's 1533-position model. The record is from RNAcentral.